CUACGGGUGGCUGCAGUGGGGAAUAUCGGGCAAUGGGCGCAAGCCUGACCCAGCAACGCCGCGUGAGGGAAGAAGGUUUUCGGAUUGUAAACCUCUGUCCUUGGGGACGAAGAAGUGACGGUACCCAAGGAGGAAGCUCCGGCUAACUACGUGCCAGCAGCCGCGGUAAUACGUAGGGAGCAAGCGUUGUCCGGAAUUACUGGGCGUAAAGGGUGCGUAGGCGGCAUAUUAAGUCAGGUGUGAAAUACUCGGGCUCAACCCGAGGGGUGCAUUUGAAACUGAUAAGCUUGAGUGUGAGAGAGGAAAGUGGAAUUCCUAGUGUAGCGGUGGCAUGCGUAGAUAUUAGGAGGAACACCAGUGGCGAAGGUGACUUUCUGGCUCAUAACUGACACUGAGGCACGAAAGCGUGGGGAGCAAACAGGAUUAGAUACCCGUGUAGUC
This 441-nucleotide ribosomal RNA is filed under the name uncultured bacterium. Its description in RNAcentral is "partial 16S ribosomal RNA". It matches the Rfam family "Bacterial small subunit ribosomal RNA", at positions 339 to 795 of the family's 1533-position model. The record is from RNAcentral.